Solanum stenotomum is the source of this 554-nucleotide long non-coding RNA. RefSeq lists it as uncharacterized. Lineage: Eukaryota; Viridiplantae; Streptophyta; Magnoliopsida; Solanales; Solanaceae. The record is from RefSeq and is a predicted model, not a curated record. The transcript has 3 exons.
ACCAUUGACCUUCGACCCUGCAACCUCCUCUAUUCAAAGUGUUUCAUCCACCCAUUGUCGCCACCAUCAGUUGUCAAUCCACCAUCUCUCUUAAUUCAACUAAAAAUAAAUUCAGAAAUGUGUUUUACGGGAAAAAAGUUUGAAAUAACAAACUACAUACUCUUCUUUAAUUUCUUCAUUUUUCGUCUCUGAUUCGAAAGAAAAUUGAAGGAAAUUCAACCAUUAAUGGUGGAAUUGAAGUGUUUGUGAAGAGAUUUCCUAACUUCAAAUAAGAGAAGAAAUUACUCAAAGGAUUUUAAAAUUGUUUGGUUUGAGCUUAACAGAAAAAGAGAAGAAUUGAUGGUGGUGGUGCUAGCGCGGUGGAAAUGGUGGCAGCGGGGUGCACGGUUGAAAUGGUAGUGUAGCCGUGUAGGAAGAAGAUAUGGUCACAGAAGAAAGGAAAAGAAAGAGUGAAUAUAUUGAGCAUGCACUCCAUCACCUGAAAUACGCGAAUUAUUGUACCACAUGAAAAAAGGGUGGAUGCGCGCAUUAACUUAAAAUGGAUUUUGUUACCU